CACACCCACGGCCUUGCUCCUUGUUUUUUUCACCAUCAAAACCGCCCCCGACGGUCUUCAUUCACGAGCUUACGCGGCGUACGUCACGAGGGCGCGUAGGUGGAUGGAAAUUCAUCGACGAUUUAUCCAAAGGUGACGACGACGUUCGCGUUUCCGUAUCACAUGGACGAAAACUUCGGCGAGAACGCUUUUGUUCGCGAUAGUUCUGCCGUGUUAUAAGCUCUUCUCGAGUAUAUUCUCUCAGUUUUUAUUAACUACGGUAUACGAAUACACUGACAAGAAUUUAAUUUUUUACACUUUCUAGAAAACUCUGUAGCAAAAUAGGCAUUGUUAGGAGAGUAUAAAUAUUGUGCAAUGUUACGAGCUGUUAUUUAGCUUAUCAACCUAUUUGGUGGAAAUUUAUUGUUGCACCAGCAUCAAAUUAUUGGAAUAGUUACAAAAAAAAAAUAUAGUACGCUGAGUGACCGUGCGAUUCAAAAGCAAUGAAAAUAGCAAUACGUACCAGGUAUCCUGGUUACGGAAUCAAAACUAAUUUUUAUUUUCUACCCGGAUGUCAACUAACCGGGUGACACGGUAUUAUAAUGAUACAAAGAACUUUCUUUUUUUAAAAAUUUUCAGUGAUCACUUUUUUCGUUUAAUUCUGCAUCAUUUAAUCGCUGAAUAUCAUCAAUUGCAAAUCAAUGGCAUAAUUCCAUAGUUAGCUUUUAAAGUACGAAUUGGAAGGCUUAUACUUUUAUUCACGGUGGUUCCAACCACGAUAGCUAUGAAAUGAUUUUUAAUUUUUGUUAGAAAAGGUGCGACGCGAGAAGUUUUUUUGUGGAAUACCGAUUUCCUGUGAUCUUUGAUCAAUAUCCGUAAGCAUGUACCGAAUAGAAUCAAUCCAAGCAGGCAAGAAAAUACUUGUUAUAGUAAACUUUACAAGUAGUUAAAAUUUUAUGUGAACCGAAAAAGUUUCAAACUUUCACCGACGUUUCCCCUUAGAUAUUUUAUCUCUCGUUUAGCCUUAAAGAAUCACUUCGGCUCCACGGUUCGUAAUAUCAAAAGUCAAGUGGAUUAAAUUCUACCGUGUACUGCAAUAUUCAACAUGUGAUGAACGAAAGAAAGUAACCACAAUCAAGCAAAAUCAGACACACACAUUAUAUAUCGAUAUCACUUAUGGAGCUAUACUUUGGGUCACAUGAAAUCUGAAUUCCAAACUGCACUUUUAAUAUCGGUGGAUGGAUACUGCAGCACAUAUGUACAUUGUGCUCGGCAUGCGACGGAAGCCUUCUGUAAUAAUAAUAUUGGCCACAUACCAACUAAGGUGAUUUAAAAUAGCACCAAUUGCCGGCCUCUCCAUCACAACAAUUAAAUAUCAUUCUUAUUGUUAUUACCAUAAUUAAUAUUUGAAUCAAUAAAUCCCUUGGAUUACGAACAUAGUUGCUUUACAUGAAAAUUAUUCCGCAACCUCGAUUGAUGACAAAUUCCAGUAUUG
Long non-coding RNA from Neodiprion fabricii, 1474 nucleotides. RefSeq lists it as uncharacterized. NCBI's taxonomy places the organism in Eukaryota, Metazoa, Arthropoda, Insecta, Hymenoptera, Diprionidae. The transcript is spliced from 2 exons. The record is from RefSeq and is a predicted model, not a curated record.